CCUACGGGAGGCAGCAGUGAGGAAUAUUGCACAAUGGGCGAAAGCCUGAUGCAGCGACGCCGCGUGAGCGAAGAAGUAUUUCGGUAUGUAAAGCUCUAUCAGCAGGGGAAGAGUGAUGACGGUACGCUGACUAAGAAGCCCCGGCUAACUACGUGCCAGCAGCCGCGGUAAU
Molecule: ribosomal RNA, 172 nt
Filed under: uncultured bacterium
Lineage: Bacteria
Description: partial 16S ribosomal RNA
Rfam family: Bacterial small subunit ribosomal RNA
Source: RNAcentral